AGAGUUUGAUUCUGGCUCAGAUUGAACGCUGGCGGCAGGCCUAACACAUGCAAGUCGAACGGUAACAGGAAGAAGCUUGCUUCUUUGCUGACGAGUGGCGGACGGGUGAGUAAUGUCUGGGAAACUGCCUGAUGGAGGGGAAUAACUACUGGAAACGGUAGCUAAUACCGCAUAACGUCGCAAGACCAAAGAGGGGGACCUUCGGGCCUCUUGCCAUCGGAUGUGCCCAGAUGGGAUUAGCUAGUAGGUGGGGUAACGGCUCACCUAGGCGACGAUCCCUAGCUGGUCUGAGAGGAUGACCAGCCACACUGGAACUGAGACACGGUCCAGACUCCUACGGGAGGCAGCAGUGGGGAAUAUUGCACAAUGGGCGCAAGCCUGAUGCAGCCAUGCCGCGUGUAUGAAGAAGGCCUUCGGGUUGUAAAGUACUUUCAGCGGGGAGGAAGGGAGUAAAGUUAAUACCUUUGCUCAUUGACGUUACCCGCAGAAGAAGCACCGGCUAACUCCGUGCCAGCAGCCGCGGUAAUACGGAGGGUGCAAGCGUUAAUCGGAAUUACUGGGCGUAAAGCGCACGCAGGCGGUUUGUUAAGUCAGAUGUGAAAUCCCCGGGCUCAACCUGGGAACUGCAUCUGAUACUGGCAAGCUUGAGUCUCGUAGAGGGGGGUAGAAUUCCAGGUGUAGCGGUGAAAUGUGUAGAGAUCUGGAGGAAUACCGGUGGCGAAGGCGGCCCCCUGGACGAAGACUGACGCUCAGGUGCGAAAGCGUGGGGAGCAAACAGGAUUAGAUACCCUGGUAGUCCACGCCGUAAACGAUGUCGACUUGGAGGUUGUGCCCUUGAGGCGUGGCUUCCGGAGCUAACGCGUUAAGUCGACCGCCUGGGGAGUACGGCCGCAAGGUUAAAACUCAAAUGAAUUGACGGGGGCCCGCACAAGCGGUGGAGCAUGUGGUUUAAUUCGAUGCAACGCGAAGAACCUUACCUGGUCUUGACAUCCACGGAAGUUUUCAGAGAUGAGAAUGUGCCUUCGGGAACCGUGAGACAGGUGCUGCAUGGCUGUCGUCAGCUCGUGUUGUGAAAUGUUGGGUUAAGUCCCGCAACGAGCGCAACCCUUAUCCUUUGUUGCCAGCGGUCCGGCCGGGAACUCAAAGGAGACUGCCAGUGAUAAACUGGAGGAAGGUGGGGAUGACGUCAAGUCAUCAUGGCCCUUACGACCAGGGCUACACACGUGCUACAAUGGCGCAUACAAAGAGAAGCGACCUCGCGAGAGCAAGCGGACCUCAUAAAGUGCGUCGUAGUCCGGAUUGGAGUCUGCAACUCGACUCCAUGAAGUCGGAAUCGCUAGUAAUCGUGGAUCAGAAUGCCACGGUGAAUACGUUCCCGGGCCUUGCACUCACCGCCCGUC
RNAcentral lists this ribosomal RNA (1400 nucleotides) under uncultured bacterium. RNAcentral describes it as "bacterial SSU rRNA". It matches the Rfam family "Bacterial small subunit ribosomal RNA". The record is from RNAcentral.